RNAcentral lists this transfer RNA (73 nucleotides) under Camelus bactrianus (Bactrian camel). It matches the Rfam family "tRNA". Rfam says of the family: Transfer RNA (tRNA) molecules are approximately 80 nucleotides in length. Their secondary structure includes four short double-helical elements and three loops (D, anti-codon, and T loops). RNAcentral also lists the same sequence under 2 other names. Lineage: Eukaryota; Metazoa; Chordata; Mammalia; Artiodactyla; Camelidae. The record is from Rfam by way of RNAcentral.
GUGGGUAUAGCUCAGGUGGCAGAGCACAUGCUUGCCAUGCAGGAGGUUCUGGGUUCAAUCCCCAGUAGCUCCU